CAUAUUUGAAGUCCCUGAGGUCUGAACGAGCAUGACUCAUUUACAGAAAUAAAAGAGGGCCAGGGCAGAGCGUGAGAGGGAGAGCGGCACAUCACAGGAAACUCAGGCCACUUUCAAGAUUUCAGUCUUCGUCUUAAGGACAAUGAAAAGUCGCUGAAGAGUUUCAGAGCUGGAUUGAGAGACCCUUUAGAUGAAGAGGCCUUCACCACUUAACAAAAGGAAGAGAGUAUGUUGGAACAAAUUUGGGAUAAGAAAUUCAUCAUGGUGUCAAAUACUACGGAAACAAAGUAGCUGAGAAUUAAGAGGGCAUCACAACAAGGCUUUUGCAAGACUCUGUGGCUUCUGUAAGCGCCCCCUAUUGGGUUUUCAAUAGUACAAGCGCUCAGUAGGGGCUCUUGGAGCGAAUGGAGGCAUGGACCCAUCCAUCGAUGAAUGAUGCAGGCAUCCUACUGGCUUUCUGAGACAAAACACUGAGAUUCACUAGGAAGAAACUUUUCACACAAAAGCUUAUUUCUACUUGGAUCAUAUUACUGCUUCGGAAGGCCCCAGGAAAGGCUCAUGAGGAAACAGGUCUCACCGCGACAUGUGCUGCACAGUGACAGAACAGAGGAGGACAAGAAUCUUCUUUUCCUGUCCUGGGGCACAGACACUUUUUGCUGUAUACCAGAGAUGAGAAUGUCAGAGCCAUGAAUGUGAUGCUGUAAAUGUUCCAUGGAAGGAGGAAAAGUAGUCUUUUUCUCCAGGGGGAAGUGUGCAACUUGGCUCAGGCACCCAGGGCCAUCUUUGGUGACUUGGAUUCAUUUGGGGACCUAAAUGGUUAAAAUGCUAUAGGAGGAAAACUCUUCCAAAGAUUUCUAAAAAUCCACCAAAUUGUGGAUAGUUCUUCAUAAAAUUUAAGAAAAUAAUAUUUUUUUUCUUUCAGUUGAAAAUUGUACCUUUUAAAAAGACAAUACAGGAACAAGAUUGACAUUGUGAAAUUUUAAGAUUUAUGAAUCUUAUGGGCUAUAAUUAACUUAUCAAAGUUUUUUUUAAAGGUUUUUGUGAAAAGAACAUAGAUUUUGGUUUUCACCUCUUUCAAUCAUGGUUCCUAAUUUGAUACAGACUUAAGGGCUUUGUUUUAUAGUUUCAGUUAACAAGUGAAGGAAUGGCAUAGAGAAUAAAUUUUGGAGAAAUUUAGAAAGUGGAGGAGGUAUCAUGGGUUGCAGGGGGGCUGUGGAAGGUUUUAUAAAAGAUGGAGGCCAUGAACUAGGUUUUGAGGGACAAUUAGAACAGUGGUGGGUAGGAGGGGAGGGGUAGGAAGAUUCUUAAAGAGUAGGAAAGACAUGCCUAAUAUUAGGCAUGGGUGGAGGUGCCAGGGUGGGAAUGUCAGCUAGCAAGUCAGCUUCAAAAUGUGACAUCAACGUCUCUAACUUUAGAAGCAUGGUAUUCAUUCAGGGUAAAAAUGGAGGAAAAUUAUUUUGAUGGAGACAUUCUGGGAGACAGUGAUGGAAAUCUAGAGCAUGUCUUAGAGCUCACAGGUACAGCUGUAUAGCAUUGAAGAACCAGGCGGUUUUACAAAUUCCUGGGGUGCCCUCUUCGAGAUGUAGUUGCAGCUUGAUCAUCACCUAGAUGGUAAUCAGUUUGCCUCUGCUGCUUGCAAGUGUGUCUGCAGUCACUUCAUAAAUAACCUUGUGAGAUGGAGCUUCAUGAGCCCGAGAAUGAGUCUGGACGCCUAUUUCCUGUUGAUGUAUAUUGAAUGCAUCUCUAGUGCAGCUGCAUUUAGAACUCUGUAAGAAUGUGACUACUCGCUCCUGCCUGGGUCUAAUCGAGUUGAAAAAUUCCAAACAUGACUGUAAAUUCCACUAGUUCUGCAUGGAAGAAAGAGCCUAAAUACAGGUCAAGGGACUUUUUUUGGACUCCAGCCUCUGCCUGAUUUUUCUUCAGAAUUAGAGGUUGUUGUGUUUUGUGUUUUUUGUUUUUGAAAAGGGAGACUUAUCUUCUCAAUGGUACUUUGGGGUGUGUGUUUUACUAGAAGAGAGUCAAAAGUGGGGAAGAGAUUAACAUCUAUGGAACACUUGCGAAUAUAAGAAGCCUUUAUGUAUAUUUCAACCUCAUGAUACUACUCUGAAAUAGGCAUAAUUAUGCCUUGUAGAAAAAAAGCAUCGUAAGGGUCAUUAUCUGUUUUGUUCCUCAAGUGCUUAAAAUAGUACCUCACAUACUAGAUGCUCAAUAAAUAUUUGGGAGACGAAAAUAA
This is a long non-coding RNA of Camelus dromedarius (Arabian camel), 2233 nucleotides long. RefSeq lists it as uncharacterized. Lineage: Eukaryota; Metazoa; Chordata; Mammalia; Artiodactyla; Camelidae. The record is from RefSeq and is a predicted model, not a curated record. The transcript has 5 exons.